UUAGGCCUACAUGUGAGGUUUGGUUCAGGGCUGAGACCUCAUGAGAGAGAAGAGGAAGGCUGUGUCCUGAAAUCUUUUGCAGACUAUCCCCUUCCGUGCUUGGAGUGGUUCUGGGGUAGCAGCUAAUUACAUCAUCCUCCAGCCUGGCUUGGGCCUGGCCGAUAGUGGGGGGCAUUCUCCUGGCUGUCGUGGUCGGCCAGACGGGAGGACAUGUGACUGAUGCAGAGCCAAUCGGAGUCUUUCCCUGGGAGUUUAUGGACAGACACCAGAGGCCUCUCCUUGUCAUGGAUGUGGAGACAGGACCUGCUGGGACUCCGCAUAUUCGAUCUAAGAGGCAAAUUGAUUUUGUGGCUUCAGCUCCUUCUGCGUCCUCGCGUUAGAGUCUGGGGAGACGCCUCUGAGGCUCCUAUUGUUCACUUUCAGAUGACUUCAUACCGAAUGGAUUUUAAGUGAAAUCUUGGGGGCUCUACAGAAUGCAGAAGACUAAGCUGGGGAUAUGUGUGACCUCAGAGAUUCGGCGGCGCUGCGAUGCCCGAGGAGCCACGUCGGGGCUGGGCCCUUGAGAGCCACUUAGUGGGGAUCACAGUGGCUCCCAGCUCCCAACAGCCCACC
RNAcentral lists this long non-coding RNA (612 nucleotides) under Canis lupus familiaris (dog). RNAcentral describes it as "lncRNA (ENSCAFG00845013105.1)". Lineage: Eukaryota; Metazoa; Chordata; Mammalia; Carnivora; Canidae. The record is from RNAcentral.